RNAcentral lists this small nuclear RNA (100 nucleotides) under Sus scrofa (pig). The record is from RNAcentral. Lineage: Eukaryota; Metazoa; Chordata; Mammalia; Artiodactyla; Suidae.
AUGCUUUUGCAGAAAAUAUCUUAAAAUUGGUACAAUCUGGAGAAGGUCAACAUGUCCUCUCACAGGGAUGACAGAAAAACAUGAAGCAAUUCAUUUUUUA